GAAUUUUGGACAAUGGGCGAAAGCCUGAUCCAGCAAUGCCGCGUGCAGGAUGUAGGCCUUCGGGUUGUAAACUGAGUUUGUACGGAACGAAAAGCUUUGGGUUAAUACCCUGGCGUCAUGACGGUACCUUACGACUAAGCACCGGCCAACUACGUGCCCGCAGCCGCGGUAAUACGUCGGGUGCAAGCGUUAAGCGGAAUUACUGGGCGUAAAGCGUGCGCAGGCGGUUUUGUAAGACAGAGGUGAAAUCCCCGGGCUCAACCUGGGAACUGCCUUUGUGACUGCAAGGCUAGAGUACGGCAGAGGGGGGUGGAAUUCCGCGUGUAGCAGUGAAAUGCGUAGAUAUGCGGAGGAACACCGAUGGCGAAGGCAACCCCCUGGGCCUGUACUGACGCUCAUGCACGAAAGCGUGGGGAGCAAAC
Molecule: ribosomal RNA, 422 nt
Filed under: uncultured bacterium
Lineage: Bacteria
Description: partial 16S ribosomal RNA
Rfam family: Bacterial small subunit ribosomal RNA
Source: RNAcentral